UUAACACAAAUUUGUAUUGAGUUGAAACGUUUGCCUACGUUUGCCGCUAGGGGCGCUAUUCCAACUGCAUACAAAUUCGAGUUG
RNAcentral lists this microRNA precursor (84 nucleotides) under Bombyx mori (domestic silkworm). RNAcentral's name for it is "mir-2807 microRNA precursor family". It matches the Rfam family "mir-2807 microRNA precursor family". Lineage: Eukaryota; Metazoa; Arthropoda; Insecta; Lepidoptera; Bombycidae. The record is from Rfam by way of RNAcentral.